AGACCAUCUAUAAUACAGGUAAAUGAUCCUUUUUCAUUUACUUAUAUAUUUAUCCAGCACUGUUCUCUGUGGAGCACUGUAAUAUUGCCAAUAAUAUGUUUUAUUCUAGGAUACUGUAACACUUUGUUCCUACCCUUUCAUCUUUGAUGCCCAAGCCAAGACCAAAAUGUUACAGACUGAUGCUGAACUACAGAUGCAGGUAUCAUAUUUAAAAAAUUAUUUCCUCUUCUUACUGUGUUUUGUUUAUCCAAAGCAUUCAAUUGUAACUUUAACUUAACAGGAGAGAGUGUAUUUAGAUGAGGGGCAAUUAUAACUUUUUAGAACUAUUUAAAUUUUUUCAGCAAUUUUAUGUUGGAUGUAACACAUAUACAUGAAUGCAUGUUUACCUGGAUCAGGGGUUGACAAGCCUUCUCAUAAAGGGCCACAUAGGAAAUAUUUUAGUCUUUGUGGGCCAUAUAGUCUGUCUCAACUAUUCAACUAUCUGUGUGGUAGCACAGAAAGUGUGACGGACAGUAAGUAAAUGAAUGAGCAUGACAUUAUGCCUAUAAAAUGUUCUGUAUACUGAAAUUUGAAUUUUAUAUAAUUUUCACAUGUGAAAUAUUCUUUUUUUUUUUCAUUUUUUUUCCAGUCAUUUAAAAAUGAAAAAAAAUUGUUAUUUCAAGAGCUGUACAAAAACAGGCAGCAAGCUGGAUUUGGUCUGCAGGCCGUCGUUUGCUGCCCUUGGUAGAGACAGAGUGAUAAUUAAAUGGAGCUUGGUAAUUCUUUAUUGAAUAAAAACUUAAGUUACAGAGAUUUAAUUUAUUUAUUAAUUUAAAUACACAUUUUUAUUAUAAAAUAGAAUUGAUUUUGAGAAGUCUACAAAGACAUUUUGUGAAUUAGCAAUUCAGAUCUACCUUCCUACUGUUGGUAGAUCUGUUACUCCGUUCAUCCCUCUCUUUCUCUCCAUCUGUCUUUCUCUUGCUUUCUGUGUGUAUCUGUAUAUAAGUAUCUGUUUUCACAGUGACUUAUCCAUGUUAUUGUCAAUGUAAAGGUUUUCCAGAGAAAGUGGACAGUUUCAAAGAAUAAAAACCAUUUAACAAGUGGUUCUUAGGUUUCUUUUCCUGCUAUUUUGAGAGUCAUGGUUUUUACCAACUCUCCAUCAUGUUUCUUGUACUCUGAUGAUUAUUUCAGUCUUAAUUAGCUGGUCUCAGUCAUUUUCAUGGAACUGGUUAUGGGUCAUAUGCUUCAUCUGUUUCAUUUAAUUUCUUUUGGUUCAGAUUAGAAAGAUUUGUGUGUUUUGUAAACAUGAGCAACUUGGAAAAUCAGAAAUAACAAAACGGAGAUGCAAUCAGCCUGCUCCCCACUACCCCAGGUCCAAAGGCACAGCCGGCUGCGGUCUGCACUUACAAAGACACUGAGUAAUUGUGUUCUUCGAUGUGAUGUUCCAGGUGGCAGUCAACGGAGCCAACCUGCAGAAUGUCUUCAUGCUUCUCACCUUGGAGCCUCUGCUGGCCAGAAGCCCCUUCCUGGUCCUUCACGUUCGCAGGAACAAUCUUGUUGGAGAUGCCCUAAGAGAGCUGAGCAUUCAUUCCGACAUUGAUUUGAAAAAGCCUCUCAAAGUGAGCCCUUCAUUCUAUUCCUCUAAAUGACUUCCAAGGUUUUCUUUAAACAGGGGUGAUGAAACAGCAGAGGUCUUAUCAUUAAAAUUAUGGAGUACAGCCAUUCUUAAGGUCUUUCAUUCAUUUUGCAAUCAUUUAAUCACCUCCUUUUGUCAAAUCAAACAGAAUAUCUCAACAUAACAUCAGAUAAGGAUGCCAGAGGAUUACUUGAGGGAUUAUAGGGCUUUCUUUGUCCGUUCUCUUCAGUGACCCUGCUCCAACUCUACCAGAAACAAGCAAACUAGCAAAACUAAAGCUUCAACUAGGUAAAACUGUCAAGUCAGCAUCUAGCUUUGGUUGUCAAAGAUUGGAGAGAAAGAAGGAAAAAGGUAGAAUAAAAAGGAGUGAAAUUGUCUGGGAAGCUGUUGACCUAUCAUGAGUGCUCUUAGUACCCUGAAGUUAUUGAAUUACUGUUUUUUCUUUCCUCAUGGACUAUGCAUGUUUGUUACCACUUAUUAUAUUCCCAGGGCUUAACACAAUUCUUGGUUACAUAGUAGGUGUUUGAUUAGUAUUUAAUGAAUUAUUUGAAGUUGUUUUAAAUCAUUUAUCUUUCCCUUCAGAUGAUUUCCAGAUCUCCAUUGCCAUUCCUAUUUCCAAUUUCCAAAAGGCAGUAGGCAAGAGACUGAUGGUCUUCAUGCUAUUGUCACCCUUUCAGAACAUACCAUGAGUAACAUCAGUCUGCCUGGGAAUUCUUCCUGGAACUUAUGGGUUAGAUUUUUGAUAUUGCAAAGGCGGGGUGGGGGGGGGGUUGUCCCUUUGCCCCUGUUUUCAAUUAGUAAUUCAGAUGAGACACUUGUUGCUUUGUAGCAUGUCUGAGUUAAAUCUUCUGCUGGCAUACAUAGAAUCGGGGUCCUAGUGUCUGUCUCUACCUUUUCUUUUGUCCUACUCUUGGCAACCUUGAACUCACCCACAAGGGUACACUUUCUCAAAUGCUAUUUUUAGCUCUGUUUCUGAGCCCUUGCCUGUACAAUGGAGAUGAUAAUAGUAAUGGCUAUGCAUCAGACUGUUCUGAGGAUUAGGUUAAUAGAGUUUAAGUGCUGGCAUGUAACAAACUCUCAAUGAAUCUCAUUUGUUGGUUUGCUGCAGUUUUUACUGUGAUGGUCAUUGUGGGUCCAGGAUGCCCCAUGUAGAUCUGUUUAUAGCCUCUCACAGAACCCAGGUCUGUGCUUCCUUAGAAUGCCCUCCUCACUUCCAUAAGCAUCAGUUACUGCAGGAGCCCCACUGAGAAAGAUUUUUUCCAGAAAGUGUUCCUUUAUCCAAAUUAAUCAUUGCUUUUCUCUGUGUGCCAGAACAUUUACCUCUCAGUAUAUUUGACUCUCUGAAAAUAAAAUGUGUUCUCAAUUGAUUAUUUUAUAUUUGCCUCACUGCCCCAAAUAGAUGGUAAACUUUCCAUGGACAUAUGGUAAACUUCUGACUUCCUUUGUAUCCCUUGGAGUACCUAGGAAAAAUUUUGUGUGUAAGUGCCUUGUUACUAAUAAGUAGAUACACCUUGCAGUGUUCAUUGUGUCAAUGUAUUGUCUGUUAUAUAUCCCUUCCUUUGUCCUGACUUUGGAAGGAGUUUGCUUUAAAAAAAAAAGAUAAAACAUCAAAGAGUUCCCUGAAGUAUUAAUUCUGCUUUCAUUAUUUUAAGGUAAUCUUUGAUGGCGAAGAAGCAGUGGAUGCUGGCGGUGUCACAAAGGAGUUCUUUCUUUUACUGUUAAAAGAACUUUUGAAUCCUAUCUACGGAAUGUUUACCUACUAUCAGGAUUCAAAUCUCUUGUGGUUUUCAGAUACUGUAAGUUAGUGAUAUUGCAGUUAAACAGAUGGAUUGAAUUAAACUUUUCUUUUUGUGGUCAGACCGAUCUCCUGACUUCUGACUUUGCCAAGGGGAGCAUAACAAAGAUAAUUUAAACAAUCCAAUAGCGUAUCUAGUCUUCAUAUUUCACUUGUUGCCAAGAUCUCAUGUUUUGUCACUCAUCAGCCCCAUUUCCCUUUCUAGUAGUUAAGAUCCCAGGUUUUGUUACUCUUUGAAGGGUAAAAAGAACACAGUGUGAUAAAGAAAUGGGUUUUAUAACAUGUGGAAAGUGGUAGUCAAAUAUGUCUCAGCUUAAUAAUAACAGUGGUAUGUAUGUGUGUGAGUACUUCUACAGAUACAUGCACACACUGUAUUUUUGGAAAUUCAGUAGAAGAGCUAAACUUUCAAUGGCAUCCGUUUUUAACCAGACUAUAAUUUAGUUCUUGUUUUCUUUUCUUUUUUUUUUUUUUUAUUUUGAGAGAGACAGAGAGAACAAGUGGGGGAGGGGCAGAGAGAGAAUCCCAACUAGGUUCUGUGCUGUCAGUGUAGAGCCUGAUGCGGAACUCGAACCCACGAACUGUGAGUUCAUGACCUGAGUCAAAACCAAGAGUUGGAUGCUAACUGACUGAGCCACCCAGGCAUCCCUAGUUCUUUUUCCUUUUGGAGCUUUCUCCCUAGAUCUGCACUGUUCUAAAAAGGUAACUAUUACCCACACGUGGCCACUUAAAUUUAAAUCGUAUUUUAUUAAAAUUAAAUAAUAUGUAAUGGGGAGCCUGGGUGGCUCAGUUGGUUAAGCAUCCAACUUCGGCUUAGGUCAUGAUCUCAACAGUCUAUGAGUUCGAGCCCUGUGUCAGGCUCUGUGCUGACAGCCCAGAGCCUGGAGCCUGCUUCGGAUUCUGUGUCUCCCUCUCUCUCUGCCCCUCCCCUGCUUGUGCUCUGUCUCUCUCUCAAAAAUAAAUAAACAUUAAAAAAAAAGUAAAUAAUAUUUAAGAUUUAUUUUCAAAGUUGUGCUGGCCACAUUUCAAGUGUUCAGUGGGUGUAGUUGGUGGCUACAGUAUUGUAUAGCACGGAAUAGAAUGUUUCCGUCAUUGCACGAAGUCCUAUCGGAUAGCAUUGCUUCAGAAGAUUAUAUGCUAUUGUCUCUGUCUCCAGAUGGAGCUGUAAAUGCUUAACGUUGUUUGCAUUGAAUUUUUUGGUGGGAUAAUUGAACUUUUGUCAGGGUGUUUCUCUGCUUCAGAAGGUAACUAAAUAUUAAUGGGGUCUUUAUUCUUUUAUAUCGAAAGUAUUCUGAGGUAAAUGGCAGAGUGUUUGGAGGGCUGCAAGCACUGCCUUUCUUUUUAACACAUUUGUAUGCAUAUUGAAAAGUGUUUUGUAGAGCACAACUGGUUUCAUUUGAUCGGCAUAACCUGUGGACUAGCUAUCUACAACUCCACAGUGGUUGAUCUCCACUUCCCAUUGGCUCUCUACAAGAAGUUACUGAAUGUAAAGCCUGGCUUGGAA
Molecule: long non-coding RNA, 4911 nt
Filed under: Lynx pardinus (Iberian lynx)
Lineage: Eukaryota; Metazoa; Chordata; Mammalia; Carnivora; Felidae
Source: RNAcentral